AUGCAGUCAGAACAAAAGAAAGCUAGAAUAGAACAUAUAAAUGAAUUGAAGCGCAGCACAGCAAACAAAGACUCAAUUGCGAUGCAAAACCCUGCAUAUAGCUCAACUGAACAAGAAGUUUGUAUUUCUACCCCUUCUGUAAAUCACAGAAAGCAUGUCACGCGAGGAGAAAGACAAACAUUGCUGCACCGCCGUAACAAACAAUUCACGACAAGACGGAGGAAAAAUGUUACAGUAUCAUCAAAAGAAGAUGCAUCCAUGACGGAAAUCGGCAACAAUGACACAGAGCCUCUACAUCAACCACAAGUAAUGAUUUACGGUAAAAAUCUAAAUUUGAUACAAUACUAG
This 348-nucleotide ribosomal RNA is filed under the name Triticum aestivum (bread wheat). RNAcentral describes it as "partial small subunit ribosomal RNA". Lineage: Eukaryota; Viridiplantae; Streptophyta; Magnoliopsida; Poales; Poaceae. The record is from RNAcentral.